Podarcis lilfordi (Lilford's wall lizard) is the source of this 6252-nucleotide non-coding RNA. The record is from the annotation of a GenBank genome assembly. Lineage: Eukaryota; Metazoa; Chordata; Lepidosauria; Squamata; Lacertidae.
UCUAGCCUACCUCAUAAGGUUGCUGUCAGGAUAUAAUGAGGAGGAAGAAUAUCAUAUACACCAUCUGAAGCUCUUUGGAGGAAAGGUGGUGUAAUGAUUUCUGGAAGGCAAGAAAGCCCUGAUAAUAAGUAAUGACUCUCUUACUUCUUAUAAUUUCUGAAACUAGUAAAUGUGGUGUUUGAAGUCAAGACAGCCUCCUCAAGAGAUGGUCUUAAAGAGGAGCUGUCCAAGAACAAAGACAGGUGAUAGCAGAGUUUUUACCCUGACAAAAGGUGAGAUAUUCAGCAUCAGACAAGCAAGGGUGAGGCGGCCAAUAUUACAGGUGGCAUGAUGUCACCACAGGAAAAAGUGCCUGCUGCAGGAGGCUUCUGAAAUGGAGGUUGUCAGGGUGACAGUGCUAUAUGCCCAUGUCACCCCAAACCACCGUUUCAGUUUGGAAACUGCCCAGAGAUUGGAAUUCAUUCAUGCAGCUGAAUGGCCCAGAAAGGAGUAGCCAUGUAAAAUGUCAGAGCUCACUCUCCUGUUUGAGAAAAUAUAUUUGCUGAAGGAAAGUCACCAUUAGACAAACUAAUAUGCCUUUCAAGCAGCAGUAAUGAGUAUCUAAAAAGGGAGAUGUUGUGAAGGUCAGUGAAGGAAGAAAAAAGUAAGCGCAGUUCAGCCAAAACCCACGUCUUAAUGAUUUCAGUUGAUGCAUUUGAAAAGGACCACAGUCAUGAUGAGGUCUGAGAGACCCUGGCCUUGCAUGGGAACCCUGAACUCACCCCCUGAAUGUUCUGCUUCCUGUUUAAAAUGAAAGCCUCCAGUUCUUCCCCAUUGCUCACAACAAAGAAAAAAUGUUUCUGUCUUCCAAUUUCUGGCCAAUGAACAGAACAACUGGCAAGCACUAGAGCCUUCUUUUCUAUUUCUUUUCUCUCUUUCUCUCUCUUGCUCUUAAACUAGUUAGUGCAUUAAUACAUAGUUUAUUGAGCUACUUCUAUUCGUGUACAUCUGGUUGUUCUGUGAUGGUUCCCUGACAUUUCUGGCUCAAUGUAUCUGCAGAUGCAAGCAAACACUGGCAGAUUCUCUUCAGCAGAAGCCACAAAUGGAAAUUCAUCUUUCUAAAGGUUCACCAGCUCACCAACAAGGCAUCUGGCACUAUUGGUGGACUUUGGGCGGCACCCUGUAUGAUGCUAAAAUCUGGUGCCCCCUGCCUCUAACACUCUGUGCUUUGUUUGUUCCACCCUAAAACUGCCUCUCCUGGCACAGUUUAAUCCUGUGGUUCUUUCUCCUGCUUGAACCCCCCCCCCCAAUAAUGAAUCUUCCACUUUAUCAGAUGCAAAGUCCUAUUUCUGAGCAGUCACUCCCAGGAUAUUUGAGGAAUAUUGGGACUUGGGAAUUCAGAAGCAGCAGGAUGUCACCUACAGAGGGCUGUUGGAGGAUAGUGGGUGCUCUAUUUGAAGGUGUCUUCUACAUGAAGGACCAUCCUGCCCCCCUCCUGGUUAAAGAUAAAGCAUAAAAAAGGAGAGCAGACACUCUGGACUUGUCCAUCAACACUGAGGUACCUUGAUAGCAGACUGGGCCAGCAGCUGGGAUACCUGGUUACUUAUGGUUAGGUGUAUCUCUAUUUAAAUUAGAAAUUACUGAAUUUGCAUCUGUAAAUAGAAAUUUGUGUAUGCAAAUAUUUAUUGUUAAAAAAUGAUGAUACAUUUUCUCUCCCUUUGAUUUUGGCUUGUAGCUAACCAAGCCAUACUUAGACUCAUUGAUCCAACUUAACUAAAACCAUUGUCUACUCUGACUGUGAUUUAGCUGAAUUCUAGAAUUGCAGAGUAGGAAGGGACCCUGAGUGUCACACAGUUCAAUCCCCUGCCUUACAGCAAUCUCAACUAAAGCAUGCAUGACAGAGUAGAAUAAUAUUUUAGGAAGCUAGUUUACCACUUGGGGAGGAAUUGGGCAAAAUAAGAACACACAGUUUCCCUUAUAGCUCCCUAAGUAAAAAAACAUAUUUUAAAAAACAAGCUAGAAAUUGGGCUGGGGCUGGGGCUGGAAUAUUCCUGAAGGUGGCAGACCCCCAUAAUUCCCUUGUUGACUCCAUGCCAUUAUCCACAAGAAUUUCCUUAUUUUAACCUGUGAAAUAUGGCAGACUAUCCUGUCAGCAAGCAGAGAUUCAGUAUGAAGUUCAGCAUGCAUCAGGAGCCAGCACAAUGCAGGGUGUUUGUGGGGAGAAAGAACAUUUACGCAAUUUAUUAGGCACAGUUGGAAGGUAUGUGAAAAAUGAUGUAGUUAUCCUUGGGAAGUUAUUGUGUAUCAGAAAAGCUUCCCCUGCAUUCAAUUUGCGUAUGUUCUCUUGUAGUGUAAUUACAAAUGGCCAGUUAGUAAAAGGCUCUAAUGUCAGACUGAAUUAGUUUUCCAAAGCUUGUCUAAAAACAGGAGGAAAAAGCUAGGAGGGACUUUUAUCAUCAUCAUCAUCAUCAUCAUUAUUAGUAUGUGUGUUGAUAGGGGUCUGCUAGGGGCCUAGUAAAUGGGGACUAUUAGAAUACCUCUUCCCAUGCGUCUCUGCUGAGAGGCAGAUAGAUUUGUGAAUGCAUCCGACAUUUAAUGAGGCUUAAUGUGUGAAGAUGAGAGCAGCUGGGGAGGCUGUUAAAAGGGAGUGAGGGAAGAAAAAGGAGAAUGUGCACUGUAGAGUUUAAGGGAACCAAGCAAAAAAAGAAGAUGGCAUAUUUGGCACAUUCUUUUCAUAUAGCCCAAUCUAUAGCAAGGAAGGGACUUUGGGGAAAAGAGAGAGGGGCAAAGUUGGAGGAAAGGAGCAUUGCUCUAAGAUUUACCCUGUGAAAAAGGAGAUGUGCAUCUUUGCAAAAUGAAGCUCAAGGCUUCUGCGUUGCAAAAGGUCUCACCUAUUCAAUUUAUUGGAGUCCACCCCCCCUUAUACUUUUGAGAACAACUGUCAGAACUGGUGGGCAGGCAAUUCAAUACAGGAAUCACCACAGAACAUAUGUUUGAUUUAGUUCUGAUUUAAUAUUUGUAUGUUCAACAAUGAAUGGGCAACUAUUAUUAUUAUUAUUAAUAAUAAUAUUCAUUAAAUUUGUAUACUGCCCUUCACUCGAAGAUUACAGGAUGGUUCACAACAUAAAAAUACAAAAUGAGAACACAAAAUACAUCAUAAGAUCAAAACAAAACAAAAAAUACCCCCCCUUCAAACACAUUUAAAAGGCCACAGAAUGUUAAUCACCCAAAGGAACAUUUUCACUCUUCAAGUCAUACUGUGCAGCAUGAAGCAAUAGGAUGGAUAAAAACAGACUUCUAUUGGAAUAAAAACUGUCCAGACCCAUAAAUAUUCAAAAAUUCAAAAGCUCAAAUAACAAAACUUGUUCCAAAACAGAUACAAAAACAAAUAAUGGUACAUCUAAAUAGUUGUAUAAUAUCAUGUGCAUGUCCAGUACAUCACAGUCACUAACUGCUGUUGCCAUGUGCCCCAUAUCUCAUGUGCCCUCUAUACUUCCCCUUGCUCAGAACCACUGUGAUUUCAGAAGCCCCCACCCCCUCCCCAGCAACUCUUUCCCAGGCACAUCCUAUGUUGGUUAAUUUAAAAACAACAAAAACCAAAAAUUAAAAGCACACAAGUUACAUUUUUAAAUUCCUGCAUUGUGGGGACUAACAGAAGGACAACAAAAAUGAAUUUUGGAAGGCCUUAUGGUGGCUACUUACUUAGAGGUAAGGAAACCCAUACCCUCCAAGUGUCUCUAUUUUCCAUGGACAGUCCUGGAAUUACAAAAGCCACCUGAGCAUCUGAUUUGAUCCCGGAAUGUCCCUAUUUUCCCCACCAGAAUUGCUGCUGCUGAGCUUGGGGAGGAGGAUUAGCCAGUGCUUAUCCUGAGUUGCAGUGGCGGAAAGGUCAUGGGGAGCAUCCCAUUGCCUCCCCAUGACCUUUCCAUGGCCACUGCUGCCAGUCUCCUUCUCUCUGAUAGGAAGUGCUGGGGGGGGGGACAAAAAUGAGUGGGUGAGGAGGGGGCAAGUGACAAAUGUCCCCAUUUUCAUCUGAGGGAUAUUGGGGGGUAUGGAAAGAGAAGAGUGUAUGCAUGUGUUUUGGGAUUGGGAAAUGGCAGGGAAUGGCCUCAGGGGGUGCGGGAAGGGGGAACACAGGGAUUUUUUCUAUGCCCUAGAGUUUGGUCCGAGAAGAUUUCUGAGAGUUGCCUAUCAGUUGAUGUGGGUUUUCAUGACCCAUACACAGGUCAAUUCUUUCUAUGGCUUGGGAGAACUUCAUGGCAUAAACUACAGAUGCAGUAUGGAUUUGGCCAUGCAGAAGGUGGUACUGUCCCCACCCUACCUUUCUGAAAUCAGAACCAUCUUGCUUUGAUAAUGUAUAAAUCAUGCCUUAGAGAGAGCUGGGAGCAGCACACAUGUCAGUAGUGUGAAGCAAACACACCAAAAAGCCUUCUCACAGAAAGGGGAGGAUGCAUGUUAUUAAAGGUGAAAGCAAAGAAUAGAUAUUUGGCAGCCUGUUCUCUUUGUGCCUUGCAUCUGAAAUCUAGUAUUUUGGGGGAAGGCUGAAUUGCAAAGCAGAAGAGAGGCCUGGGAGAUAGUACUUAUCAUGGAAUGAGAUCUGUUUCUGCCAUACUUAAUCCAGUGUAACACAUGAUUACAACAGUAAUGCUUCUCCUUUACACAUACUCUUGUUCUGAAACAUUUAAAUAUUUCAAAAAACAUAGUUAAUCAUUUAUGUUAAUAGGAGUAACCACACUCAGCUUGAUGGGGUGUGUCAUUUCUUGAGCAAAAUGAACUCUUUGGGGGGUGUAUUUUCAUCAUAUUAAAUACUCUUACAGCAAAAUAUACGUAGAAAAACAUCUUUGCACAUGUGGUCUCAAGCAGUAGACUAUUUUUAUCAUUAUUUAUUAUACUGAUCGUUGUAUUUUGAACUGAGAGCAAAGUAAGACACCUGAUGGCGAUGAAGGGAAAAGAAAUCACAUAUUUGGUGUCUGAUUCUGACAAAUCAGUGAUGGACAAGAGUUGUGAGAUUUGGACUGGCUGUCUGAAAGCUGAGUAAUAUGGUGAAUUGCAAACAUUUAAUUUGAUGAUUACGGUAAUUUAAAGGUUUCAUUGGAUAAUUCUAAUGUAUUAGUUCGGUUACCUACAUGCUGCAGAUCACCCUAUUUCACCUAGGAAUAGUCACUUUUUCUGGAACUUGUUCCUGGUAAACUAUUGGCCACAUUUUUUGCCAUUAACUUUUGUUAUAUAUAAUUUAUUUCUUACAUUUAUAUCCCACAUUUCCUCCAAGGUGCUCAAGGUUCCCUCCCCUUCAGAUUUUCUCCUUGCAACCCUAUGAAGUAGGUUAGUCUGAGAGACUGUGGCUGGCUCAAGGUCACCCAGUGAGCACCAUGGCUGAGUGGGGAAUUGAAUUCUGGUCUCCCAGAUCCCAAUCCAACACUCUAACAUUCUAACCAUUAUGCCACACUGGCCGUCUGAGAAAAGUGUCUAGUUAGGGUUGCCAAGCUGCCUGCUCAUGAUUUCUGAGUGUGUGUGUGUACCCUGUUCUCUAGGGAACUGCACGCACAUGAAUAAUAGGACAACCUCCAAUGCACAGUCCAUCAUUCCACACACUGCAACUGCUGAGGUAUAACUGCAGGUAACACUGAAAAACGAUGCUCUUCAAAUAGUUCUUUUUUAUAUCAUUUUUAUUAAAUCUCCAAAAAUAUCUAUUCAAAUAUUUAUUUAAGCAAAAGAUUCUGGAGCAAAGGAUACUCCCAAACCAUGCAUUUGCUGCUUUGUGGAAAACACAAUCAUGUCUAAAUCAGAAAAUCAAUUCAUCCAAUGUACCAACUGCACUUCUGACCUGUCUAAUUUCAGUUUCAGUUUGUUUACCUGCAUCCAGCCUUUCACUGGCCCCAGAGAAAGAUGCGUGACCUCUAAAACAAUCCUGCACCACCUAAAAGGUUAACAAAACUAGAUUUCCUAGAAUCAGAUGGAAAGGUGAAAUGCAUUUGGCCAUUCUGGUUAUACUAUGACAGUGCACCCCAAAGCUCUGGACAGCCUAUCCCAAUGGAUUCAUGUUGACAUUAAAGUCUUAACUACGUAAGACGAGCCUUGCUGGUUUAGACUAACGGCCUUAACCAUUCCAGCAUUCUGUUCCCACGAUGGUCAAUGAGAUGCCUCUGUGAAAUUUGUAAGUAGAAGACAUUCAUACUCACACUCUUACCCAGUGACAACUACUCAGAGGCAUGAUGCCUCUGAUCUUGAAGGUAGUGCACAGCCAUCAAAACUAGUAGCCACUGAGAACCCCCA